GAUGAAGAACGCAGCGAAAUGCGAUAAGUAAUGUGAAUUGCAGAAUUCAGUGAAUCAUCGAAUCUUUGAACGCACAUUGCGCCCGCCAGCAUUCUGGCGGGCAUGCCUGUUCGAGCGUCAUUUCAACCCUCGAGCCCCCCCGGGGGCCUCGGUGUUGGGGGACGGCACACCAGCCGCCCCCGAAAUGCAGUGGCGACCCCGCCGCAGCCUCCCCUGCGUAGUAGCACACACCUCGCACCGGAGCGCGGAGGCGGUCACGCCGUAAAACGCCCAACUUUCUUAGACUUGACCUCGGAUCAGGUAGGAAUACCCGCUGAACUUAAGCAUAUCAAUAAGCGGAGGA
RNAcentral lists this unclassified non-coding RNA (343 nucleotides) under soil metagenome. RNAcentral's name for it is "partial contains 5.8S ribosomal RNA, internal transcribed spacer 2, and large subunit ribosomal RNA". The stretch from base 1 to 120 matches the Rfam family "5.8S ribosomal RNA", at positions 35 to 154 of the family's 154-position model. The record is from RNAcentral.